This 498-nucleotide ribosomal RNA is filed under the name uncultured bacterium. RNAcentral's name for it is "partial 16S ribosomal RNA". It matches the Rfam family "Bacterial small subunit ribosomal RNA", at positions 30 to 523 of the family's 1533-position model. The record is from RNAcentral.
AUUGAACGCUGGCGGCAUGCUUUACACAUGCAAGUCGAACGGUAACAGGCCGCAAGGUGCUGACGAGUGGCGAACGGGUGAGUAAUGCAUCGGAACGUGCCCAGUCGUGGGGGAUAACGCAGCGAAAGCUGUGCUAAUACCGCAUACGAUCUAUGGAUGAAAGCGGGGGACCGUAAGGCCUCGCGCGAUUGGAGCGGCCGAUGUCGGAUUAGGUAGUUGGUGGGGUAAAGGCCUACCAAGCCGACGAUCUGUAGGUGGUCUGAGAGGACGACCAGCCACACUGGGACUGAGACACGGCCCAGACUCCUACGGGAGGCAGCAGUGGGGAAUUUUGGACAAUGGGCGCAAGCCUGAUCCAGCAAUGCCGCGUGCAGGAAGAAGGCCUUCGGGUUGUAAACUGCUUUUGUACGGAACGAAACGGUCCGGGUUAAUACCCUGGGCUAAUGACGGUACCGUAAGAAUAAGCACCGGCUAACUACGUGCCAGCCGCCGCUGUAA